This 497-nucleotide ribosomal RNA is filed under the name uncultured bacterium. Its description in RNAcentral is "partial 16S ribosomal RNA". It matches the Rfam family "Bacterial small subunit ribosomal RNA", at positions 26 to 507 of the family's 1533-position model. The record is from RNAcentral.
GGGGGGGGGGGGGGGGGGGGGGGGGGGGGGGGGGGGGAGGGGAGAGGUGAGGGGCUGGCGCCUGGGACGUUAGCGGCGGACGGGGGAGUAACGCGUGGGGAACCUACCUAUAAGACUGGGAGAACUUCGGGAAACCGGAGCUAAUCCCGGGUAACAGUUGGAACCGCAUUGUUCUAAAGGUCAAGCUGGUGUUGCUAUCACCGCUAGAUGGACCCGCGCCGUACUAGCUAGUUGGUAAGGUCACCGCUUACCAAGGCAACGAUACGUAACCGACCUGCGCGGGUGAUCGGCCACACUGGAACUGAGACACGGUCCAGACUCCUACGGGAGGCAGCAGUAGGGAAUCUUCCGCACUGGGCGAAAGCCUGACGGAGCAACGCCGCGUGAGUGAUGAAGGGUUUCGGCUCGUAAAACUCUGUUAUUAGGGAAGAACAAACGUGUAAGUAACUGUGCACGUCUUGACGGUACCUAAUCAGAAAGCCACGGCUAACUACGUG